RNAcentral lists this ribosomal RNA (405 nucleotides) under uncultured bacterium. RNAcentral describes it as "partial 16S ribosomal RNA". It matches the Rfam family "Bacterial small subunit ribosomal RNA", at positions 28 to 526 of the family's 1533-position model. The record is from RNAcentral.
GACGAACGCUGGCGGCGUGCCUAAUACAUGCAAGUCGAGCGAAGCGGGGACGGGUGAGUAACACGUAAGGAACCUCCGAUAUGCGGGGGACAACAUCCGGAAACGGGUGCUAAACCCCAUACUUAUCGAUGGCCUUGCGGUGCAUUAGGUCGUUGGUGGGGUAACGGCCUACCAAGGCAAGGAUGCAUAGCAGACCUGAGAGGGUAAUCGGCCACAUUGGAACUGAGAAACGGCCCAAACUCCUACGGGAGGCAGCAGUAGGGAAUCUGCCGCAAUGGGCGCAAGCCUGACGGAGCAACGCCGCGGGAGUGAAGAAGGUUUUCGGAUCGUAAAGUUCUGUUGUAAGAGAAGCGGUAUCUUACCAGAAAGCCACGGCUAACUACGUGCCAGCAGCCGCGGUAAUUC